RNAcentral lists this ribosomal RNA (253 nucleotides) under uncultured bacterium. Its description in RNAcentral is "partial 16S ribosomal RNA". It matches the Rfam family "Bacterial small subunit ribosomal RNA", at positions 524 to 776 of the family's 1533-position model. The record is from RNAcentral.
UACAGGGGGUGCAACCGUUGCUCGGAAUCAUUGGGCGUAAAGCGCACGUAGGCGGUUUGUUAUGUCGGAUGUGAAAGCCCUUGGCUCAACUGAGGAAGUGCAUCCGAAACUGGCAAGCUAGAGUACUAAAGAGGAUCGCGGAAUUCCCGGUGUAGAGGUGAAAUUCGUAGAUAUCGGGAGGAACACCGGUGGCGAAGGCGGCGAUCUGGGUAGAUACUGACGCUGAGGUGCGAAAGCGUGGGGAGCGAACAGG